UGGAACAACAACCAACACAUAAAAUUUGUAAACUAUAGUUGCAAACAAGAUUGAAUCUUCUUUAUCAAGCAUCGAAUGAAAUAUAACAUAAUAAACAGUACAAUAUUUAUUAAUAAACAUGGCGAAAACAAAAGUGUCAAAUUUAAAGGGAAGACAAUCUAUUUGAUUUCAUAAAAUAGUAUAGGAAUACAUCUUUUGUUCAUCUCCUUCCUUUUCUCUGUUGCCUGCAGUUCUAUAAUCAUGUAUUCAAGUCUCUUUCUCCAACUUUGUUUUCGUCUUCGCCAUAUCUAAUCUCACACGCAACAGAAAAUAGAUGCACAGAGCCGCAAUGCCGGCGUCUUAGCUUUAGAUUUCAGAAUCGGUGAAUUCUUUGACUUUCUUCUUCGAAAGAGUCCUCACAAUAGGCAUGCUCCUCCAAAAUCCGUCGACGGGGACGUACUCGGAAGCUUUGUAAUCGCUGAAGAAGCAGAAACAAGUUGUUACGCUUCCUCAGUUAUUACCUGUUACAAACUUAAUUCAGAGAAAGAUUUGUGACAGACAAAUAGCCACGUCGACUUGUUCCAAUAAAUAAUAUCUAAUAUAUAUUUAAUUUUGUUUUGCAGGUUGUCCAG
Molecule: long non-coding RNA, 611 nt
Filed under: Brassica napus (rape)
Lineage: Eukaryota; Viridiplantae; Streptophyta; Magnoliopsida; Brassicales; Brassicaceae
Description: long non-coding RNA (BNAP_LNC025153)
Source: RNAcentral